Peromyscus maniculatus bairdii (prairie deer mouse) is the source of this 104-nucleotide small nucleolar RNA. RefSeq annotates it as small nucleolar RNA U13. NCBI's taxonomy places the organism in Eukaryota, Metazoa, Chordata, Mammalia, Rodentia, Cricetidae. The record is from RefSeq and is a predicted model, not a curated record.
AUCCUCCUUGUGAUUCAUAAAUGUGGUGAUUGAGUUUUCAGGUCACUGUGAGGAUAGGCUUCUCUCAAACUGUGUUACAACAGCAGGGCAUUACUUGUCUGACA